UUUUGUGUAUAUACAUUUCAUUUCAAUGUUUAUUUCCCUUUCCCAAGUUUCUCCAGAGUGAAGCAGAUGUUCAUCUACAGAUGACUGACCUCGAAGAUUACGGGAUCAGUGAGUGCCUAUGUGUGAAGUCUAUGCUCCACGCAAAACAUCUCAAUGGAAGCGAGAGGUCGUUGGAGUGCUACAAAUAUGUGAAGCUUUCUGACACCCCCGAUGCAGCCAACCUGAACACCGCCCCCGCUACAAACGACGAGAAGUAAGGAAUUUAAGACUACCUUAAUCUUGGUGGACCACUAUUGUAUUCUACUAGGAA
This is a non-coding RNA of Dermacentor andersoni, 310 nucleotides long. NCBI's taxonomy places the organism in Eukaryota, Metazoa, Arthropoda, Arachnida, Ixodida, Ixodidae. The record is from RefSeq and is a predicted model, not a curated record.